GACGAACGCUGGCGGCGUGCUUAACACAUGCAAGUCGAACGGAGAGGCCCUGCUUUUGUGGGGUGCUCGAGUGGCGAACGGGUGAGUAACACGUGAGUAACCUGCCCUUGACUUUGGGAUAACUUCAGGAAACUGGGGCUAAUACCGGAUAGGAGCUCCUGCUGCAUGGUGGGGGUUGGAAAGUUUCGGCGGUUGGGGAUGGACUCGCGGCUUAUCAGCUUGUUGGUGGGGUAGUGGCUUACCAAGGCUUUGACGGGUAGCCGGCCUGAGAGGGUGACCGGCCACAUUGGGACUGAGAUACGGCCCAGACUCCUACGGGAGGCAGCAGUGGGGAAUAUUGCACAAUGGGCGGAAGCCUGAUGCAGCAACGCCGCGUGCGGGAUGACGGCCUUCGGGUUGUAUACCGCUUUCGCCUGUGACGAAGCGUGAGUGACGGUAAUGGGUAAAGAAGCACCGGCUAACUACGUG
This 468-nucleotide ribosomal RNA is filed under the name uncultured bacterium. RNAcentral's name for it is "partial 16S ribosomal RNA". It matches the Rfam family "Bacterial small subunit ribosomal RNA", at positions 28 to 507 of the family's 1533-position model. The record is from RNAcentral.